CAUGGAGUUCCUGACUCAAUAGACUUGCCAACUGCUGGCUGGGACGAUGGUUGGUCAGCCAGAGAGACACAGUCAGGGAGGUCGGAGUCUUCAAUCAACCCUGCUGCCAGGUACUCAGGAAGUUCCUGACUCAAUAGACUUCCCAACUGCUGUGUGUCUCAUCCAUCACCUUAUUAAAGAUGGUCGGUCAGCCAGAGAGACAAAGGGCAGGGAGAUCUGGAGCCUUCAAUAAAUCCUGCAGUGAGCUGAUGAAAUGCUGGAGUAUUGAAAAUACCUAAGUAAAGAAAAACUCCAGUGACCACCGAAAUGCAACACGGGAUUCAUCCGGAAAAUUGGAUAUACUAGCAAGAACUCCCAGCGGCAUGGCCUCUGAUUUCACAAAUUGAUUUUAUAACCUGAGGACAUACCAAAUAAUUUAAUCACUUGAAUUAAGCGGGGCACAGAUGUCAAUGGAUCAUUUAAGAAAAGGAGGACAUCAACUGCAUAGAGAGUAAUUUUGUGCUGACCUGAUCCAACCUUCGGAGCCUUUAUAUUAAGGUCAGCUCAUACAGAUUCCACCAACGGCUCAAUCACUAGCGAAAAUAAUAAUGGUGAGAGAGGGCAUUCCUGACGACAAUCUCUGCCAACGCGAAAGCUAUGUGAACUUUAACUGUUGGUGAUCACCGUUGCUUUAGGAUCAUUAUAUAAUACUGUAACCUAUUAAGUAAAGACCUCUC
Hemiscyllium ocellatum (epaulette shark) is the source of this 716-nucleotide long non-coding RNA. RefSeq lists it as uncharacterized. The record is from RefSeq and is a predicted model, not a curated record. The transcript is spliced from 3 exons. NCBI's taxonomy places the organism in Eukaryota, Metazoa, Chordata, Chondrichthyes, Orectolobiformes, Hemiscylliidae.